This 681-nucleotide ribosomal RNA is filed under the name Nodularia sp. IMU17. Its description in RNAcentral is "bacterial SSU rRNA". It matches the Rfam family "Bacterial small subunit ribosomal RNA", at positions 104 to 818 of the family's 1533-position model. Lineage: Bacteria; Bacillati; Cyanobacteriota; Cyanophyceae; Nostocales; Nodulariaceae. The record is from RNAcentral.
GGGUGAGUAACGCGUGAGAAUCUGGCUUCAGGUCGGGGACAACCACUGGAAACGGUGGCUAAUACCGGAUAUGCCGAGAGGUGAAAGAUUAAUUGCCUGAAGAUGAGCUCGCGUCUGAUUAGCUAGUUGGGAGUGUAAGARACUACCAAGGSGACGAUCAGUAGCUGGUCUGARAGGAUGAUCAGCCACACUGGGACUGARACACGGCCCAGACUCCUACGGGAGGCAGCAGUGGGGAAUUUUCCGCAAUGGGCGAAAGCCUGACGGARCAAUACCGCGUGAGGGAGGAAGGCUCUUGGGUUGUAAACCUCUUUUCUCAAGGAAGAAAAAAAUGACGGUACUUGAGGAAUAAGCAUCGGCUAACUCCGUGCCAGCAGCCGCGGUAAUACGGAGGAUGCAAGCGUUAUCCGGAAUGAUUGGGCGUAAAGCGUCCGCAGGUGGCUGUGAAAGUCUGCUGUUAAAGAAUGAGGCUCAACCUCAUCAGARCAGUGGAAACUACACGGCUAGAGUGCGUUCGGGGUAGAGGGAAUUCCUGGUGUAGCGGUGAAAUGCGUAGAUAUCAGGAAGAACACCGGUGGCGAAGGCGCUCUACUAGGCCGCAACUGACACUGAGGGACGAAAGCUAGGGGAGCGAAUGGGAUUAGAUACCCCAGUAGUCCUAGCCGUAAACGAUGGAUACUA